GGGGAAGGAAUGUGCGUUGCCUUUGACUAGUGACGCGUCUCCUCCUCUUUAUGCAAUAUCAUCGUCAUGGACGAAGUACAUUAAAAGAUUCAUCAAUGCUGAAGCUUUGUGUUGAAGAAGGUUGUUGCACAACGAAGGGAUUUUAAGCUAAUUGUCACAUCUGCAACUAUAAAUGCAAAUAUAAAUGCAAAUCUUUGGAGGGUCAUUUCCAGCAAAUAUCUUGUUCAUCAAAGCACCCCAUGAUGAUUAUGUGCAAGCGUAUGUGAAUCUUCAAUAUAUUGAAUAAGGUUUUUAUUGCUGAGAGAUAUUAACUUGGAUUUGUAAAGAUUAUCAACGGGGGUCAUAUGUACUUAAAAGUUUGGAAAGUACUUUUCAGAAUUGCUUAUCCACCAUCAGCGUGCUCCUGUUUUAUUUGUAUUUCAGGAAGUUGCCAGUUAGGGGCCAGUGUCCAAGCCUCAGUGUGUUGAACGACAAUUCACCCUGGCAUUUGUUGUCAUUCCUGCUAGUCCAGG
Molecule: long non-coding RNA, 512 nt
Organism: Lolium rigidum
Lineage: Eukaryota; Viridiplantae; Streptophyta; Magnoliopsida; Poales; Poaceae
Exons: 4
Source: RefSeq, a predicted model, not a curated record